Conger conger (European conger) is the source of this 452-nucleotide long non-coding RNA. RefSeq lists it as uncharacterized. NCBI's taxonomy places the organism in Eukaryota, Metazoa, Chordata, Actinopteri, Anguilliformes, Congridae. The record is from RefSeq and is a predicted model, not a curated record. The transcript is spliced from 3 exons.
CCUCAGCCCACUGGUAGAUGGAGGAGGGUGACAAUGAACUAAGAGAUUUAUUGGGACUUUAGAGGGCCGAUUAAUCUGUCUGAGGUCAAACUCUGCGCGACCUUCAUGCUGCUCACCUUCAGGGAGGGGCAGCAGGGUGAUGGCUGUGCUGAGACGGCCACUCCCCAGGCUCACCAGAUGGGGGCGCUCCGCCUGGACCUUCAGCCCCUUGCCUGUCUCGAUCAGGUCCAACGCGGUGCUCUGCGGUGGAGAAAGGAAGCCGGGUUAAUCGCAUCGGCCCACCAAGUGGCAGCAAGACGUUGACCGGCCACAUGCAAAGCCCCCGCCCGUCACACGGAUUCCCGGGGGCCCCCGGGGGCCCCAGGGGCCAGUCCUGUUUGGGGGAGUCUGUUGCCGUGGAGGUGAGCGAUAGCCUGAGCGUGCCCGCUAGCCUCACACCCCGAGCAGCGUGG